Non-coding RNA from Mycobacterium xenopi 3993, 69 nucleotides. The record is from Rfam. Lineage: Bacteria; Bacillati; Actinomycetota; Actinomycetes; Mycobacteriales; Mycobacteriaceae.
UUUAAUCGAGCCCAACCACACCGGCUGCGAGCGGUUCUGCCCAUACGUGGCCAAAAGUGCUUGCGCCUC